This 810-nucleotide small RNA is filed under the name Rattus norvegicus (Norway rat). RNAcentral's name for it is "uncharacterized LOC102549715". Lineage: Eukaryota; Metazoa; Chordata; Mammalia; Rodentia; Muridae. The record is from RNAcentral.
UGGCCAAGUUCUGGACAUGUGACCAAAUAGAACACAGAUCAGGAGUCACAGUUGGUGUGAGGUAGCUGAGACAGUUGGUAUCUGGCCUGCUAUAAUUGAGGUUGAGAUUUCACUCCAGGACUCCAGUGGCAGAGACAGUGCUCUGAGGCAGCCUGUGAGACCAUGAUUGGAGAAGAGGCCCCUGUCUACUCCCCAAUACUCAGGCUUCCUCCAGUGGCUGGAAUUUACCUACUAGCUCUACGCUCUGUCAGCUUACAGCAGCACCAGCCAUGAUGUCAUGGUCAAAGUGGUCAAGCACAGCACCCUAUGCCAGCUCCUGACUUUGUAUUUGCAACAUGUCCUGGAUCUGUGACCACCAGCAGCAGAUGGUGCAAUGAACUUCCUGAACAAGAUGUGAAAGUGUUUCCCGCUGAGCCUUGAGAGGUGAACAUACAUCGCGCCUGUCAUCUGGAUGGAACAACUUGAGGAAGGGCCGUCCAUAUUCCUGCUCCCUAACCAGGACACUGCUAAGGUGAAUAUGAGGAGAGCACGAGAAUCCACCUUGCUACAUGUUAAAGAAGAGAGACAACUGGAGCCUUCCCCUUACACUCGUGCACUCCAUCUAGCAGGCUUCAAAAGCCUAAUCUGUGAUUCUAGACACCGGGAAGGAGGAGACUGAGGGGUGAAGGCUGGCCUGGCCUGCGUGUUCUGCCAGGGCAGUGACCUGCAAAUGAUGUUCCGCUGACGAGAUUGUUGUGUAGUAACUGGGGAAGUCUAAGAGGCUUUUCAAAAGUAAACAGCAUAUGCAUCUGGAGCAUGCUGGGAACAUAA